GAUGAUUAAAAAUAAUGAUAAUAAAAUAACUAAAAAGAACAAAACAUUUUUUUUCCUGUGGUGAGGUAAAUAUGUCUAUUUACAUAUAGCUAUCACUGCUAAUGUCCCUGCCUCUGAAGAGAACCUUAAAGUAAUGGAAAAUAUGUUAAAGCUAAAUGUUGUUUCAUAGAAUUUAAAAAGAAAACAAAGAAAUAAAACCAUGGUAGACUAUAGAUAAGCGGAAGAGGAUGGAAGAAUGGAUAUAGCAAUAACAAAAGGCCAAAAGAUUAGUUAGAUUAGAAAAAUAGCUGCUAUUUACACAUGUCAGGGGUAGCAGAGGGUCUAACGGUGCUUUAUAUAGCAACUUAAUGGUUUGAAAAUCAUUUCCCCCAGGUAAGAGACACCCUCAGACUCCUUUGCGAGUUAAAUCUUGCAAACUCCAUUUUUGUCGCUUGUAACGAAUGAUGAAACCACAGCCUCUCUGUCAGAAUGAAUAACUGAACAGCUCUUAAAGAUUCAUGAGGCCGAACAAGAAUAGAUGAACAAAUUAGCCUGUUUUUUUUUUUUAACAGUGUCUUUGACAGGGUCUGCAGCCAUUUUGGCUCUGGUGGUGUUGAGAACAGGAUGUUGCCUUCGUGGAUAUCUCUUCUCCCUCAGCCCUUCCUUCUGUGUUUCCAUCCCCCGGUACUUCUCAGUGCAAACUUAGGUUUAGAUGACAGUGAGAAUGUGCGUAGCGAUUGUGGAUGGUGUUAUUGUGUAAACAUCGAUUUCAAAUUGUAAGCGUCGAUGAAGGUGUGUUUUCAUUUUUUGACCUUCUUCUCCUUCUUCCCUCUUUACCGUCCUCGUGGCCCCCUCUCCCGUCCCCCGCCCCCGUCUUCUUUCUUCAUCUCCUCGUUGUCCCUGUUCACAGUAUUAGGCUGGAAUAUGGUUGUGCGGUAGUAGACACGUGUUCACUGUGACUGGUGAGUAAGUGUUGUUGUCUUAUGAUGUGUUGCUCCUCGUGAUACCAUCAAACACGGAGCAGUGAUUAGAUCAUUGGAGACAAAAGAUGAAAGGAAGGGGUGACCCAGGUUCCCUGAAAAUCAAAACAAACAAACAAAAUAACAAAAAAAAAAAAAACACUGGUUCUCAUUUUUCACACACCCAUUCCUUAAAAUAAAAAUGUCUGGAACUUUUCCCUCUCUGCACAGUGCCACUCUGGGAUCUUUCUCUGCGUGUGAAACUCUGUGAACUGUACUGUACGUACUUUCUCUUGAUGAUAUCUUGACACAAUUUAACUUGCAAAUGCAGAAAAGAGGUUGGGUUGUUGCAGAGCCGUGACUAAACGCCUAUACGCUCGCUUUCUGCCUACUGAGGUACACUGAGUCAUCUUGACAAGGAGGUAGUCCAUUCAUUAAAAACCUGACACCUCCAGCUGAUCGGGGUUGGAACGAAGCACUUGUGUCUAUUCAAGCUCCAAAAGCUUGCUUCAAGCUAGAUGCUGUUAAAAAAAAUGUCCUGCAUCUUAAAUUUCCUAGCAGAGAUUUGCUUUCAAAGGUUUUAUUGGUAUGCUAAACUGAUUAAAAAAAAGACACUUCUCCAAAAAAAAAAAUCCUCAGCAGCUCUCCUCAAAAAGGCUGCAGCACACAACACAGCUUUGCAGCUGAGCCGCUGCCUGCCUGACUCUGACUGACAGACUCUCUGUGUUUGUAGAUACCAGUGGAGGCGAGCUUGAUUCAUCUCCUCUGCCACGAUUCUUGAGAAAGUAGGCUGAGAUAUCCCCCGCUCCCUCCGCUGGUUUGUCCUUGCCUGCGGUUGGUACACCGUAGUCUAGACGUCCCAUUUACAGCAGGAGCAGAAGCAACCUCACCGUUAGCGUACCUUCCACUGAGGAAACUCUUCAAAGACCCACAACAAAACAAGACGAAAAAAACCCUUUGGACACACACCACAGUCGUGGCGUCAAGCCUGAAUUAUUCAUAUUUGGGUUUUUUGGUGUGUGUCCCAUUGUUUCCAUUCCAUUAGCACACUGAGGGAAGCUUUCCUUUAAACGCUUUAAGCGGUUUUCUUACAAUUUUGGCCACAACAACAUCAAAAGAACCAUAUUAGUCGUAUCUUCAGGACUACAUUUCUACAUUUUUGUCUCCUGUCAUUUCUGAUUCCAUGUUAGCUCUAAAUAAAUCCAUCUCUUGCUCCGCGUCCUACAGCUGCUGGUUUUGAUUGGAUUAGACUUGAGAUUUAUCAGAGCUGAGACGAGCAGUAAUAGGAUGACAGAGGAGCGAGCCUGGCUUGAUUGGGUGAUUACUUGGCUUAUUAGUACCAUUUCCAUAACGGGCCUCUCAGACAGAGUGUCAUGCAAAUAGACUUUUAGCUGUUUAACAGCAUCAGUGUCAGACAGAGAUAUGACCUGUGAUGAGUUUCUCAGGCAAAGAGGCGGUGAUGCAAACAAUCGCUGUCGCCUGAUAUAAGUGAGCAUGCUGCAGAGCUUUGCUGAAACACUUUAGAGCACCUCAGACAGACAAAUGCUUCAUCUUAACCUUGACCAGACCCCCACCCACCCCCCAACAGACACACACACACAAACAAAAUCACCUCCAUUUCCUUCUGUGUGACAAUACUGACCCCCAGUGGUCACUGUGAGUAUAGGAAACAAAUCCUGAUGACUGUUGUACCAAAGCAACAGCUCGGGGUCUCAAGCAGGUAAGCGAGAAAAUUGACUGUUAGCUUCAUAAGUCAGUGCUUCACUGAUUUCCUUAUAGCCAUAGCGUGACCCCUGUCUUGGCACUGGGUGUGUUUCUGCCUGCAGUGGGAGCAGGAGAGGCCUCCAUCUCAUCAAAAAGCAAACUGCUCUAAGUCUGGAGAUUACACACUUAAACCCCCACCACCAGUCUCACCAAACCCUCCCCCCAGAAAACUUCACAGCAUUAUUCUUUCUCUGUAUAUGAUUAAGUGCUGCUCAGCAAAAGAUCAGCUACUCUCUAGAGAAGAAAAAAAAAAAAAGUUUCUUUCUUGUGGUCUUAGCAGAUUAAAUCUAUGCAUGCCUUUUAUAUACAGUGAUUGGUCUUGCCAAACUCUCACCUACACUUGUACAGAUAGCCAUGGGUGCCAUCGUUGCUGGCCAUGGGACUGGCUGAAACGACUAACGUGUGUUUUAAUCUGGUACAAGUUAAAGCCAGGGGGCAAAGAGUCACCGGCAUUCACGAAUAUAUAUAUAAAGAAGCAUUUGUUUACUUGGGAUGAUUGUACUUUUACACAUAUCUAUCUUCAAACAGAUGAUCUGCUCUGAUGUGUAAGCUGUUGAUAAAGCUAUUGAUAUUCCAAGCAGGGUGGUGGGACUGAUCAAUCAUGCUGUGUGGGGACAGGAUUGUUAAUGGCAUACUUUCAUUGAUCUAUCUUGAAUCUUGUCACUCUCUCAAAUGGAUCCUUGGAGAAGAAGAACAGGAACUGUACAUAUUAGAUCUAUUAGCCAUAUCAUGUCAUCCAAUCUGUAGACCUCCUUGCCAUGUCUGACAGAGGAAAAUGACUGUUGAACUGUAAAUAGUGUAGGUAUAGUAAAAUAGGAUUUAUCGGCUGUUUCUUCUCUCCGGGGAUCGCCCAUGUUUUGCUCAGUCCCAUGGCUGCUUGGUCUCAAAGGGAAGGAUAAGACAAUAAUGUAUUUGUCUAUAGAACACAUAUGACUUCUUUUUUAAUUUAAAUGUAUGUUUUAUAUACCGUCUGUCUUGUAAAUGAGCUCCUUUUUCGUCAUAAAAGCAUGAUGUGACUCGACUGAAUCCUGUGUGCCUCCCUGUUUUGUGUG
Molecule: long non-coding RNA, 3754 nt
Organism: Astatotilapia calliptera (eastern happy)
Lineage: Eukaryota; Metazoa; Chordata; Actinopteri; Cichliformes; Cichlidae
Source: Ensembl